RNAcentral lists this ribosomal RNA (402 nucleotides) under Triticum aestivum (bread wheat). RNAcentral's name for it is "partial small subunit ribosomal RNA". The record is from RNAcentral. Lineage: Eukaryota; Viridiplantae; Streptophyta; Magnoliopsida; Poales; Poaceae.
AUGUUUGUGAAGUGGCGCCGCCGGAUUCGAGGGUGGAGCCCGAGCCUCCACUGGAGCAUGGAUCAGACGUGCAUGAGGUGGAGCUUUGCAUGGAUCAUGACGUGGUCAUCGUGGGGGCCUGGAUCAUCAAGUCCGCAGGCGGUGUCGGGGGCGGUGCAAUGCCAGCUACUGGACAUAGUUCACCCUGGGUUGGUGCUUAUGAACAAGGUGAAUUUCGAUGCCAAGAUGGAGUACGACAUGAUCCAGAUCUACAUGAUUCUCUUGGAUGUGUUCAACAAGUUGCAGAUAGGCAAGGUACGGGUGGUGAUUCUCCUAGCUUUGGUCUCUGCCCGUGGAUUUAUCCAUGAUUGUGUCUUGCAUUUUGUCAUUUGGGAAAGCAAAUGUGAUCUUUCUGUACAGUAG